RNAcentral lists this ribosomal RNA (468 nucleotides) under uncultured bacterium. Its description in RNAcentral is "partial 16S ribosomal RNA". It matches the Rfam family "Bacterial small subunit ribosomal RNA", at positions 28 to 507 of the family's 1533-position model. The record is from RNAcentral.
GACGAACGCUGGCGGCGUGCUUAACACAUGCAAGUCGAACGGAAAGGCCCUGCUUUUGUGGGGUGCUCGAGUGGCGAACGGGUGAGUAACACGUGAGUAACCUGCCCUUGACUUUGGGAUAACUUCAGGAAACUGGGGCUAAUACCGGCUAGGAGCUCCUGCUGCAUGGUGGGGGUUGGAAAGUUUCGGCGGUUGGGGAUGGACUCGCGGCUUAUCAGCUUGUUGGUGGGGUAGUGGCUUACCAAGGCUUUGACGGGUAGCCGGCCUGAGAGGGUGACCGGCCACAUUGGGACUGAGCUACGGCCCAGACUCGUACGGGAGGCAGCAGUGGGGAAUAUUGCACAAUGGGCGGAAGGCUGGUGCAGUAACGCCGCGUGCGGGAUGACGGCCUUCGGGUUGUAAACCGCUUUCGCCUGUGACGAAGCGUGAGUGACGGUAAUGGGUAAAGAAGCACCGGCUAACUACGUG